AGAGUUUGAUCCUGGCUCAGAUUGAACGCUGGCGGCAUGCCUUACACAUGCAAGUCGAACGGCAGCACGAGAGCUUGCUCUUGGUGGCGAGUGGCGAACGGGUGAGUAAUAUAUCGGAACGUACCCUAGAGUGGGGGAUAACGUAGCGAAAGUUACGCUAAUACCGCAUACGAUCUACGGAUGAAAGUGGGGGAUCGCAAGACCUCAUGCUCAUGGAGCGGCCGAUAUCUGAUUAGCUAGUUGGUGGGGCAAAAGCUCACCAAGGCGACGAUCAGUAGCUGGUCUGAGAGGACGACCAGCUACACUGGAACUGAGACACGGUCCAGACUCCUACGGGAGGCAGCAGUGGGGAAUUUUGGACAAUGGGCGCAAGCCUGAUCCAGCAAUGCCGCGUGAGUGAAGAAGGCCUUCGGGUUGUAAAGCUCUUUUGUCAGGGAAGAAACGGUGGACUCUAAUACAGAUCACUAAUGACGGUACCUGAAGAAUAAGCACCGGCUAACUACGUGCCAGCAGCCGCGGUAAUACGUAGGGUGCAAGCGUUAAUCGGAAUUACUGGGCGUAAAGCGUGCGCAGGCGGUUGUGCAAGACAGAUGUGAAAUCCCCGGGCUCAACCUGGGAAUUGCAUUUGUGACUGCACGGCUAGAGUGUGUCAGAGGGGGGUAGAAUUCCACGUGUAGCAGUGAAAUGCGUAGAGAUGUGGAGGAAUACCGAUGGCGAAGGCAGCCCCCUGGGAUAACACUGACGCUCAUGCACGAAAGCGUGGGGAGCAAACAGGAUUAGAUACCCUGGUAGUCCACGCCCUAAACGAUGUCUACUAGUUGUCGGGUCUUAAUUGACUUGGUAACGCAGCUAACGCGUGAAGUAGACCGCCUGGGGAGUACGGUCGCAAGAUUAAAACUCAAAGGAAUUGACGGGGACCCGCACAAGCGGUGGAUGAUGUGGAUUAAUUCGAUGCAACGCGAAAAACCUUACCUACCCUUGACAUGUCUGGAAUCCUUGAGAGAUCAGGGAGUGCUCGAAAGAGAAUCAGAACACAGGUGCUGCAUGGCUGUCGUCAGCUCGUGUCGUGAGAUGUUGGGUUAAGUCCCGCAACGAGCGCAACCCUUGUCAUUAGUUGCUACGAAAGGGCACUCUAAUGAGACUGCCGGUGACAAACCGGAGGAAGGUGGGGAUGACGUCAAGUCCUCAUGGCCCUUAUGGGUAGGGCUUCACACGUCAUACAAUGGUACAUACAGAGGGCCGCCAACCCGCGAGGGGGAGCUAAUCCCAGAAAGUGUAUCGUAGUCCGGAUUGUAGUCUGCAACUCGACUACAUGAAGUUGGAAUCGCUAGUAAUCGCGGAUCAGCAUGUCGCGGUGAAUACGUUCCCGGGUCUUGUACACACCGCCCGUCACACCAUGGGAGCGGGUUUCACCAGAAGUGGGUAGCCUAACCGCAAGGAGGGCGCUCACCACGGUGGGAUUCGUGACUGGGGUGAAGUCGUAACAAGGUA
This 1491-nucleotide ribosomal RNA is filed under the name metagenome. RNAcentral's name for it is "bacterial SSU rRNA". It matches the Rfam family "Bacterial small subunit ribosomal RNA". The record is from RNAcentral.